GCCUGGGUGGCUCAGUCAGUCAAGCCUCUGACUUCAGCUCAGGUCACGAUCUCACAGUCUGCGGGUUCGAGCCCCGUGUCGGGCU
Molecule: non-coding RNA, 85 nt
Organism: Felis catus (domestic cat)
Lineage: Eukaryota; Metazoa; Chordata; Mammalia; Carnivora; Felidae
Source: Rfam